This 74-nucleotide transfer RNA is filed under the name Thermoplasmatota archaeon. Its description in RNAcentral is "Candidatus Thermoplasmatota archaeon tRNA-Arg". It matches the Rfam family "tRNA". From Rfam's summary of the family: Transfer RNA (tRNA) molecules are approximately 80 nucleotides in length. Their secondary structure includes four short double-helical elements and three loops (D, anti-codon, and T loops). Further hydrogen bonds mediate the characteristic L-shaped molecular structure. tRNAs have two regions of fundamental functional importance: the anti-codon, which is responsible for specific mRNA codon recognition, and the 3' end, to which the tRNAs corresponding amino acid is attached (by aminoacyl-tRNA synthetases). tRNAs cope with the degeneracy of the genetic code in two manners: having more than one tRNA (with a specific anti-codon) for a particular amino acid; and 'wobble' base-pairing, i.e. permitting non-standard base-pairing at the 3rd anti-codon position. Lineage: Archaea; Methanobacteriati; Thermoplasmatota. The record is from RNAcentral.
GGGCCCUUAGGGUAGUCUGGAUAUCCUUUCGGCUUUCGGAGCCGAGGACCGGGGUUCGAAUCCCCGAGGGUCCG